GUCCCGUUCGUCUAUCGGUUAGGACGUUAGGUUUUCAACCUGAAAAGAGGGGUUCGAUUCCCCUACGGGAUACCA
This 75-nucleotide transfer RNA is filed under the name bacterium. RNAcentral describes it as "tRNA-Glu". It matches the Rfam family "tRNA". From Rfam's summary of the family: Transfer RNA (tRNA) molecules are approximately 80 nucleotides in length. Their secondary structure includes four short double-helical elements and three loops (D, anti-codon, and T loops). Further hydrogen bonds mediate the characteristic L-shaped molecular structure. tRNAs have two regions of fundamental functional importance: the anti-codon, which is responsible for specific mRNA codon recognition, and the 3' end, to which the tRNAs corresponding amino acid is attached (by aminoacyl-tRNA synthetases). tRNAs cope with the degeneracy of the genetic code in two manners: having more than one tRNA (with a specific anti-codon) for a particular amino acid; and 'wobble' base-pairing, i.e. permitting non-standard base-pairing at the 3rd anti-codon position. The record is from RNAcentral.